Molecule: long non-coding RNA, 1055 nt
Organism: Oncorhynchus tshawytscha (Chinook salmon)
Lineage: Eukaryota; Metazoa; Chordata; Actinopteri; Salmoniformes; Salmonidae
Source: Ensembl
GUUUGGGAAUGUUAGGGGAGGGACUGUUCUAGUUUGGGAAUGUUAAGGAAUGGGACUGUUCUAGUUUGGGAAUGUUAGGGAAUGGGACUGUUCUAGUUUGGGAAUGUUAAGGAAUGGGACUGUUCUAGUUUGGGAAUGUUAAGGAAUGGGACUGUUCUAGUUUGGGAAUGUUAGGGGGAGGGACUGUUCUAGUUUGGGAAUGUUAGGGGGAGGGACUGUUCUAGUUUGGGAAUAUUAGGGAAUGGGACUGUUCUAGUUUGGGAAUGUUAGGGAAUGGGACUGUUCUAGUUUGGGAAUGUUAGGGAAUGGGACUGUUCUAGUUUGGGAAUGCAGGAUCAUUCAGGAAGAAAGGUUAUGAUGAGGAUGGCGGGAAAGGAUCCAAUGGGAACUACUUGGACAGGAAGUGAGUAGAGGAAAUCCCAGUUGUAAUCAAACAUGCUGCAUGAUGAUUGGAUAAGGACAACAAGAGACCUUGGAUCCCACUGCUGUUUCUGCAACACGUGCUUGGGAAUGUGAAACAACAUUAUCCAGUAAUUCUUUGGUCACUGUGUGUGUGUGUGUGUGUGUGUGUGUGUGUGUGUGUGUGUGUGUGUGUGUGUGUGUGUGUGUGUGUGUGUGUGUGUGUGUGUGUGUGUGUGUGUGUGUGUGUGUGUGUGGUGUCUUGUGACUUGGUGUAGUAGGGACACUUUCACACUCAUCAGGGACGCUGUGAUUCCAGGAACUUCAGUUGAUGUCCCCUCUCUGUCCCCUCUUUCACACAGCUAUAGUUAUAAUGCUUCCUGCUGCUAUAACACUGACAGCAGCUCAUGAGGGGUGGAUUCAAUUUGAGCUGUCAACCAUCAAUAUAUUUUCUUUGUUUUUUCAAAAAAACAAACAUAAACUGUACCUCAAAUAGGAAGCAGCUUAUGUUUUUAGCUCCAUAGACCUGUUCUAUGUGUUCUGUUCUAGGUGUUCUGUUCUAGGUGUUCUGUUCUAGGUGUUCUGUUCUAGGUGUUCCGUUCUAGGUGUUCUGGAGUGUCUCACCCCUUGGAGGUGUAUGUUGAUCCUGAUUCCCC